UCUAUUGUAGCCGAGAUUCCCCCACCAGAAUCCAGCAAGGAAGCAAGUAGUGUUAGAACACCAAGCAGUAAGGCUAAUGCAGACUUUACCACCUAUGGUUAAGACAGCUGGUUCGCCCUCUCUUUGUCCAAGAACAUUCUUUCAAUGGCUCACAGGACAGGAACACAUCAGACCAGUUCGUCUGUGGAUAUUUGUGCCCAUUCAAUAAAUAAGUAAAACAAA
Long non-coding RNA from Trichomycterus rosablanca, 222 nucleotides. RefSeq lists it as uncharacterized. The transcript has 2 exons. NCBI's taxonomy places the organism in Eukaryota, Metazoa, Chordata, Actinopteri, Siluriformes, Trichomycteridae. The record is from RefSeq and is a predicted model, not a curated record.